GACACUCUGCAGUGUUCGAGGUGUCUCGAAUUCGCUCUUUGCCUUUGAUACCAUUUGGGAGCCGCCAAGCGGCACGCGGAUGCCAGGCCGUAAACCGGAAGGCAGAAACGUGCCAGGUGGCGCCCACCUUAACCUAGAAGGUUUUGGAGCCACAGUAGACAUACGGCACAGGCGGAGUGUCA
RNAcentral lists this non-coding RNA (182 nucleotides) under Opitutia bacterium. Its description in RNAcentral is "6S RNA". It matches the Rfam family "6S / SsrS RNA". From Rfam's summary of the family: E. coli 6S RNA was the first non coding RNA to be sequenced, but its function was unknown until recently. It consists of 184 nucleotides that fold into an extended hairpin structure with a large single-stranded internal bulge. The record is from RNAcentral. Lineage: Bacteria; Pseudomonadati; Verrucomicrobiota; Opitutia.